Molecule: non-coding RNA, 45 nt
Organism: Gasterosteus aculeatus (three-spined stickleback)
Lineage: Eukaryota; Metazoa; Chordata; Actinopteri; Perciformes; Gasterosteidae
Source: Rfam
ACACUGGCUCUUUUAAGAGCCACACACACUUUAUCAUUGAGCAAA